UAUUUUACUAGAUAAGACCCGCUUAAAUAGGCGGGUGUAAGAUAUAAAUUUAUUCAAAUAUUUAU
This 65-nucleotide small RNA is filed under the name Arabidopsis thaliana (thale cress). RNAcentral describes it as "ATSL168670". The record is from RNAcentral. Lineage: Eukaryota; Viridiplantae; Streptophyta; Magnoliopsida; Brassicales; Brassicaceae.